GAUGCGCGCGCCAUCUGGUGGUGCUGCAAGGAACACAGCGGCGCGCGUGCUCCGCUGUCAUUGGUUGGCCUAUUCUGCAUGGGCACAGCCAGGCCGCAGCUCCCAGGUUCACGAAGCCUGACGAGGUUCGCGAAGCUCCGCUUAAGAAAAAAAAAGGAAAUUGGAUAGGUUGCAUCAUGUACGCAGCCGCUGUGGGCGUGCUGCGGACGGUGUAUACGGGCACAAAAUUGCCGUGAACAAAUGCCAAACGUAGGUAUUCACGCGUUAGAAAGCUUACAUGUCUAUGUUCUACAGCUGGCAGGAGUGUUGUGGUCUGAUGUUGCUAUUGUGCUCGCUUUCUAUUCGUAGUGGGCUCGUUUGUUCUGCAGGGGGCAUUUGGGUACUAGGGCAAAGAUAUGAGACCCGCCUACCGGUGGCGCCCGAGACUACCUUGUGCCGCUCGAGGCCGCCGUACUUGCAAAUGGUCGGGGCGCUGCCAGCGAUGCUUCGCUUGCCUUAAUCGCUUGUGCUCCCUGUGGCGAUGGACGCGUUCCGCCGUGCUCAAACGGGUUGGGUCUUACGGCCCGAGUAUCUUCGCGCCAUUUCUAGGUCCUAUAGCGUGUCAAACGCAGGCGAGUCGUAGCCGAGCAAGCGUGACAUUCCUGCAACGAACUGCACACUUCUGGCCUUGUACGAGUAACUCCCCACGCGUGUCGACGGACACAGUGCGGACAUUGCGGAAACGGGGCCACGACUGGCCGGCCGGACUCGCUCAAGCGACAGCAAGGGAGAUGGACGCGGCGCAACCGACUGCCGGUGCAAGACAAAAUGAGGCCAUCGCAUUCACAUCUCAACGUGCAAGUUGGCGCUGGGGUCGCCCGCGGCUGUUGGCGGAAGGAGUGGCGUGGCGUUCCCGCCGCUAUUUGGUGGCGCAGACGCGACCAACCAGCAGGCCCUGUUCCAACAGCGGGCGCUUAACAACACUCUCAGCCUGCAGCAACUGCUACGCCGACUGUUCCCGACGCCGCAGCCGCCAGCGGUCGGGACGCCACAGCGCUUCGCCCCCAUCGUUGCGCGUCGACGCCAGCGAUGAAACCACAAAUGGACGCGCGACGUCACUCAAGCUGAAAAUUAGUGGUAGUUUGUCGCAGAAUGCUUAUCUUUGUUUGUCUUCGCAAUAACCUUAACUACAUAAAUGUGGACAAAUAAAAAAAAUAUUA
Molecule: long non-coding RNA, 1199 nt
Organism: Dermacentor andersoni
Lineage: Eukaryota; Metazoa; Arthropoda; Arachnida; Ixodida; Ixodidae
Source: RefSeq, a predicted model, not a curated record